UCAUUAUGAGCUUUGAAUGGCUAAAAUUGGUUAACUAUGCUGGGAGAAAUCUGAGUUUAAAAUUUUGUUGGUUGUUUUUGUUUUGCAUGAUUCCAUGAUGAUUAGCUCGAGUUCAUGAAUUUUAAUGGUAGCAUGUUGAUAUGCAUUGUUUGCUGAUUCUAAUGAUAUGCUUUCUAUCCAUUUCUGUGACCAAAUUUUUUUCGAGUUGAUUGGAAGUGAU
This 220-nucleotide long non-coding RNA is filed under the name Lathyrus oleraceus (garden pea). RNAcentral describes it as "Pisum sativum (pea) long non-coding RNA (PSAT_LNC010911)". The record is from RNAcentral. Lineage: Eukaryota; Viridiplantae; Streptophyta; Magnoliopsida; Fabales; Fabaceae.